AACGAACGCUGGCGGCACGCCUAACACAUGCAAGUCGAAUGAUAAGCCACCUUCGGGUGGUGGACAGUGGCGGACGGGUGAGUAACGCGUGGGCACCUGCCUAUUAGUACGGAACAACAGUUGGAAACGACUGCUAAUACCGUAUACGCCCUUUUGGGGAAAGAUUUAUCGCUAAUAGAUGGGCCCGCGUUAGAUUAGCUAGAUGGUAAGGUAAUGGCUUACCAUGGCGACGAUCUAUAGCUGGUUUGAGAGGAUGAUCAGCCACACUGGGACUGAGACACGGCCCAG
This 288-nucleotide ribosomal RNA is filed under the name uncultured bacterium. RNAcentral's name for it is "partial 16S ribosomal RNA". It matches the Rfam family "Bacterial small subunit ribosomal RNA", at positions 29 to 334 of the family's 1533-position model. The record is from RNAcentral.